AGCUUUAUAGUUUAAAAAAAACAUUAAUUUUGUAAAUUAAAUUUAAAUAAAUAUUUUAAAGCU
RNAcentral lists this transfer RNA (63 nucleotides) under Diadegma fenestrale. RNAcentral describes it as "tRNA-Thr". The record is from RNAcentral. Lineage: Eukaryota; Metazoa; Arthropoda; Insecta; Hymenoptera; Ichneumonidae.